GAUGAACGCUGGCGGCGUGCCUAAUACAUGCAAGUCGAGCGAACAGACGAGGAGCUUGCUCCUCUGACGUUAGCGGCGGACGGGUGAGUAACACGUGGAUAACCUACCUAUAAGACUGGGAUAACUUCGGGAAACCGGAGCUAAUACCGGAUAAUAUAUUGAACCGCAUGGUUCAAUAGUGAAAGACGGUUUUGCUGUCACUUAUAGAUGGAUCCGCGCCGCAUUAGCUAGUUGGUAAGGUAACGGCUUACCAAGGCAACGAUGCGUAGCCGACCUGAGAGGGUGAUCGGCCUCACUGGAACUGAGACACGGUCCAGACUCCUACGGGAGGCAGCAGUAGGGAAUCUUCCGCAAUGGGCGAAAGCCUGACGGAGCAACGCCGCGUGAGUGAUGAAGGUCUUCGGAUCGUAAAACUCUGUUAUUAGGGAAGAACAAAUGUGUAAGUAACUAUGCACGUCUUGACGGUACCUAAGCAGAAAGCCACGGCUAACUACGU
Molecule: ribosomal RNA, 496 nt
Filed under: uncultured bacterium
Lineage: Bacteria
Description: partial 16S ribosomal RNA
Rfam family: Bacterial small subunit ribosomal RNA
Source: RNAcentral